GACGAACGCUGGCGGCGUGCCUAAUACAUGCAAGUAGAACGCACAGUUUAUACCGUAGCUUGCUACACCAUAGACUGUGAGUUGCGAACGGGUGAGUAACGCGUAGGUAACCUGCCUGGUAGCGGGGGAUAACUAUUGGAAACGAUAGCUAAUACCGCAUAAUAUUAAUUACUGCAUGAUAAUUAAUUGAAAGGUGCAAUUGCACCACUACCAGAUGGACCUGCGUUGUAUUAGCUAGUAGGUGAGGUAACGGCUCACCUAGGCGACGAUACAUAGCCGACCUGAGAGGGUGAUCGGCCACACUGGGACUGAGACACGGCCCAGACUCCUACGGGAGGCAGCAGUAGGGAAUCUUCGGCAAUGGACGAAAGUCUGACCGAGCAACGCCGCGUGAGUGAAGAAGGUUUUCGGAUCGUAAAGCUCUGUUGUAAGAGAAGAACGGGUGUGAGAGUGGAAAGUUCACACUGUGACGGUAUCUUACCAGAAAGGGACGGCUAACUACGU
RNAcentral lists this ribosomal RNA (504 nucleotides) under uncultured bacterium. Its description in RNAcentral is "partial 16S ribosomal RNA". It matches the Rfam family "Bacterial small subunit ribosomal RNA", at positions 28 to 506 of the family's 1533-position model. The record is from RNAcentral.